AGGGCGCGCAGGCGGCGCGGGUGCGCGGUGCGGCGCUGGUAUCCAGAGGACGCGGUCACCGCCUCUGGCAUUUGUCGUUCUGCGCUUCUCCGCAAGGACCCUCUGUUAGGCAGGCGCCCACCGUAAGCCUCCCGGGCCUUGUGAACCUGCAAACCCAAGUCUGAGAGACGAUCCGCCUUCAGCGCUUUCCAGCUUGGCAGAGAGGCUUUCCCGGCGGGGAUCUUUGGUUGGCGCUGGCGAUGCGCGGGGAAGAAAGGCGAGGAGCGGCGUCCAGGCUGGGUGAUGUCCCAGCACGAGUAGGCGGGAUGCGCUCGCUUGGUCCUCCGGGCGCCCGGUCCCUGCCCGCGUCGCGCGCCCACCCCUGGGGACGAGAAGGCGGCCGCCUGAGGACCCCCGCCCGCGACCUCCGCGAGUCUGGAGCGCAGAGGACAGGGUCUGGCUGCUCUUUGGCCUUGGAUGGAAAGUGGGGAAUUGGGUGGGGGGCUGCGGACCCCUUAACGUGGAUUACUUGGUGUGUAUCAGCUGGGCUCAGAAGACCCACGACCUCUUCUCCAUCCGUGGAUUGAUUUGUUCUGCUUAACAGCUGGGUCGCCAAGCUGGAGGUAUUUUUCCCUCUCCACCCUGGUCUUCUCCUGUAACGUGUGGCCGCCUUUUCCAGCACGGCCUCCUGCCUUCCUGGUGCACUUUUUGGAGAACGUGGUGGAAUCAGAGGUUUCUGGCUGACUCGGUGGGUGCUUUGAACCAGGAAAGGACAAGAAAGAGGUGCCACCUCCUGAGUCCUGGUUCCUGCGGCUCCGUCGAAUCUGCAGUGAAGGCCUUUGGGAAGCGUGGGUUAUGUGGGUCCAGGGGUCCCAUCCUCCCGUGGAGGCCCUUGACCUGAGGAUCACUAACUCACACCCCACCGACUUCCGGCCCCCAACAAGGGCAGUGUUCCUCUUGCUCCAUUCUGCUCUGAAGUCCCCCAAACCGCUUCCUGGGGCUGCUUAGUGAAAUACAAGGCUCAUCUCUGAGGACCUCUACAGGGCUGGAUGGGAAGGACUGAUCCACAUUCCCACCAGGAAGUUUAGCAGAACCCCCGCGUGCCACCUGGACCCCUUGGAAGGACCUGGCUCAGGCUGGACCACCUCUUGAGAGGCAGGAGCUCUGGAUUUGAUCAAGAAUUCUUUGCUGAGCAUGGUGCCUCAUGCCUAUAAUCCCAACACUUUGGGAGGCCAGUGUGGGAGGAUCUCUUGAGCCCAGGAGUUCAAGACUAGCCUGGGCAACACAGAGAGACCCCAUCUCUAAAAUAAUAAUAAUAAUAAAAUAAAAAAUUAGCAGGGCAUGGUGGCAUGUGCCUGUAGUCCCAGCUACCCAGGAGGCUGAGGCAAGAGGAUGGCUGGAGCCUGGGAUGUUGAGGCUGCAAUGAACUGUGAUUACCCCACUGCACUCCAGCCUGGGCAAAAGAGCGAGAGACCCUGUCUCAAAUAAUAAUAAUAAUAAUAAUCUUAUUUUGGAGAAUAAAGAGACCUCUGGAUUUGAGGUGCCAUUUGGGUAGAAAGAAAAGACGUUUACACCGAGAAAUAGUCUGUGUUGCCCUGAAGGAGCAGAGGGAUGCAUCGCUGGAGGUGACCUACAGUUGAAGAAGACUCAUUAUGACAGACCUUGUCCUUCUUCCUUGUGGAAAGUGUUUCCUCUGCUGCUACUGCUCAUGAGACUCUUCCCCCUCCCUGUCCCAGGGAACCAAAGGGCUUUCUACCACACCCUUUCUUGCCCCCCGCCUCCCAUGUCUGCUGUGCCUUUGUACUCAGCAAUUCUUGUUUGCUCCAUUAUCUUCCAGCCGGAUACAGAGUGAAUAGUUAACCACACUUAGGUCAAAUAGGAUCUAAAUUUUUGUUCCUGCUCCGUGUAAAGAGGCCAGUGUUUGUGUGUUGCAAGCAGCCUUGGAAUAGUAACUCUUCUCAUUUGUUUGGGAUCUGGCCACCAAGUUCCAGAAUGAUACACGGAUCAGUGCAGAAGUUCAUCAGGCUCUCGGACCUUAGGGCUGUUGGAGAAGGCUUCAGCAGCAGAACUGAUGGUGAAGGCUCGUGUUCUCCAUCCUCAACUUUCUUUGCUUCGAUCAUACACAAGAAUACAUUUGGAAGGGCAAAAAAUGAACACUGUCGUUCAUUGCAGCCGUGUUUUGUGACACAGAUGCACAGUCUGCUGUGAAGACCUUCUCUCAAGUGGCAUUUGGGAGUCCAUGCCAGAUCAUGGUGCUUCAUGAGAGACUGACAGCUAUCAGGGGUUGUGGCACUUAGUGAGGACUCUCCUCCCCCAGUGUGUGCUGAUGACACAUACACACCUGACAAUAGCUUGAGUCUUCUCUGUUCCUUUUACUCUGUAGCCAACAUACACAUGAUUUAAAACCCUUUCUAAAUAUCUAUCAUGGUUCAUCCUUGUCCAAAUGCAGAGUCAGAGCUAUUUGUACUUCAUUAUUAUUUCCAAGGCGAAUAGUUGGCUUUCUUUUUGCAAAAAUAA
RNAcentral lists this long non-coding RNA (2496 nucleotides) under Homo sapiens (human). RNAcentral describes it as "non-protein coding lnc-SLC39A11-1:46". The record is from RNAcentral. Lineage: Eukaryota; Metazoa; Chordata; Mammalia; Primates; Hominidae.